This 273-nucleotide ribosomal RNA is filed under the name uncultured bacterium. RNAcentral describes it as "partial 16S ribosomal RNA". It matches the Rfam family "Bacterial small subunit ribosomal RNA", at positions 524 to 796 of the family's 1533-position model. The record is from RNAcentral.
UACGUAGGGGCCGAGCGUUGUCCGGAGUUACUGGGCGUAAAGCGCGCGCAGGCGGCGGUUCAAGCCCGACGUGAAAGCCCCCGGCUCAACCGGGGAGGGUCGUCGGGGACUGGGCCGCUUGAGGUCGGCAGGGGCUGGUGGAAUUCCCGGUGUAGUGGUGAAAUGCGUAGAGAUCGGGAGGAACACCCGUGGCGAAGGCGGCCAACUGGGCCGGACCUGACGCUGAGGCGCGAAGGCGUGGGGAGCGAACGGGAUUAGAAACCCCAGUAGUCC